Molecule: unclassified non-coding RNA, 400 nt
Filed under: Hevea brasiliensis (rubber tree)
Lineage: Eukaryota; Viridiplantae; Streptophyta; Magnoliopsida; Malpighiales; Euphorbiaceae
Source: RNAcentral
AUGAAAUUCUUCCCGGUCAAUCCGAUAUCAAAAACUGCCUCCAGUUUGAGCGAUUGGGGCAUAUUUAAGUCAUCCGAAGAAAUUAGAGAAACUAUCUUUUGCUUGACAAUACUGUUAAAGCUGGCUGCCUUCUCGUCCUCGUGAUACUUAUUGACAAACAAGCUAAUCUCCACUAAUGCUUUCAGUGCUGCCUUCCAUAGAAACUUCUUGUUGAAUUCAGAUUCAAUAAUUGACGUCAAAGUCAGCAAGAUAUUCUCAUACAUGAGCUUUGAGACAGAAAUAAAGCUUCCAGGAAAUGUAGCCAAGAUCUCCAAACCUUUAACUGCUGCGUAAACAUAAGCAUUCCGAGUGCUUUCAACACAACUUGCUCGAAUGAGACAAAAGAAAACAUUACAUAAUG